GGAAGGAUCAUUACAGUGCUCGUCAGGACGCUAUGCCUUCUGGCACGGCGGUCCUGCACCUGCCCACCCGUGUCUACGUUUCUUCUGUUGCUUCGGCGGACCCCGCUGCGCUGCUGCAGCGGGCUGGAGGCUUUGCUUCCGGUUCGUGUCCGCCGGAGGACCUUCUGAACCCUCUGUGAAUACUGGCGAGUCUGAGUGAUUACUGAAUACAGUUAAAACUUUCAACAACGGAUCUCUUGGUUCUGGCAUCGAUGAAGAACGCAGCGAAAUGCGAUAAGUAAUGUGAAUUGCAGAAUUCCGUGAAUCAUCGAAUCUUUGAACGCACAUUGCGCCUACCGGUAUUCCGGUAGGCAUGCCUGUCCGAGCGUCAUUUGCAACCUCUCAAGCACGGCUUGUGUGUUGGACCAGCGUGCCCGUCAGUGGGCACGGGUCCGAAAUGCAGUGGCGGCGUCACGGCUCGAUCCCGCAAGCGUAUGGGGCUCUGUCACACGCUGGGCGGUCGGGCGUAGCUACGUCUGCCAGACUCUCACAUCUUCUCAGGUUGACCUCGGAUCAGGUAGGGAUACCCGCUGAACUUAAGCAUAUCAAUAAGCGGAGGAAAAGAAACCAACAGGGAUUGCCUCAGUAACGGCGAGUGAAGCGGCAACAGCUCAAAUUUGAAAUCUGGCCCCCUUGGGGGUCCGAGUUGUAAUUUGCAGAGGAUGCUUCGGGUGCGGCCGCGGUCUAAGUGCCUUGGAAAAGGACGCCAUGGAAGGUGACAGCCCUGUCCUGGGCCGAUGGUGCGCGCCCGUGUGAAGCUCCUUCGACGAGUCGAGUUGUUUGGGAAUGCAGCUCUAAAUGGGUGGUAAAUUUCAUCUAAAGCUAAAUACUGGCCAGAGACCGAUAGCGCACAAGUAGAGUGAUCGAAAGGUUAAAAGCACCUUGAAAAGGGAGUUAAAUAGCACGUGAAAUUGUUGAAAGGGAAGCGCUUGCGACCAGACUCGGCCGGGCAGGUUCAGUGGGCAGUCGUGCCCACGCACUCCUGCACGGUCGGGCCAGCAUCGGUUCUGGCGGCCGGUCAAAGGCCCCUGGAAGGUACCGUCUCUCGGGACGACUUACAGCCAGGGGUGCAAUGCGGCCAGCCGGGACCGAGGUUCGCGCUCCGGCACGGAUGCUGGCGUAAUGGUCGUAAGCGACCCGUCUUGAAACACGGACCAAGGAGUCUAACAUCCACGCGAGUGUUCGGGUGUCAAGCCCGUACGCGCAGUGAAAGCGAACGGAGGUGAGAUCCCUCCCCCGGGGGGGCGCAUCAUCGACCGAUCCUGAAGUCUUCGGAUGGAUUUGAGUAGGAGCGUGAAUGUUGGGACCCGAAAGAUGGUGAACUAUGCCUGAAUAGGGUGAAGCCAGAGGAAACUCUGGUGGAGGCUCGCAGCGGUUCUGACGUGCAAAUCGAUCGUCAAAUUUGGGUAUAGGGGCGAAAGACUAAUCGAACCAUCUAGUAGCUGGUUCCUGC
This 1492-nucleotide unclassified non-coding RNA is filed under the name uncultured Onygenales. RNAcentral's name for it is "sequence contains 18S rRNA gene, ITS1, 5.8S rRNA gene, ITS2, 28S rRNA gene". The stretch from base 543 to 1492 matches the Rfam family "Eukaryotic large subunit ribosomal RNA", at positions 1 to 961 of the family's 3401-position model. The record is from RNAcentral. Lineage: Eukaryota; Fungi; Ascomycota; Eurotiomycetes; Onygenales.